CCUAACACAUGCAAGUCGAACGAGAUCUUCGGAUCUAGUGGCGCACGGGUGCGUAACGCGUGGGAAUCUGCCCUUGGGUUCGGAAUAACAGUUAGAAAUGACUGCUAAUACCGGAUGAAGUCUACGGACCAAAGAUUUAUCGCCCAGGGAUGAGCCCGCGUAGGAUUAGCUAGUUGGUGGGGUAAAGGCCUACCAAGGCGACGAUCCUUAGCUGGUCUGAGAGGAUGAUCAGCCACACUGGGACUGAGACACGGCCCAGACUCCUACGGGAGGCAGCAGUGGGGAAUAUUGGACAAUGGGGGCAACCCUGAUCCAGCAAUGCCGCGUGAGUGAUGAAGGC
RNAcentral lists this ribosomal RNA (340 nucleotides) under uncultured bacterium. RNAcentral's name for it is "bacterial SSU rRNA". It matches the Rfam family "Bacterial small subunit ribosomal RNA", at positions 47 to 415 of the family's 1533-position model. The record is from RNAcentral.